This 279-nucleotide ribosomal RNA is filed under the name uncultured bacterium. RNAcentral describes it as "partial 16S ribosomal RNA". It matches the Rfam family "Bacterial small subunit ribosomal RNA", at positions 506 to 784 of the family's 1533-position model. The record is from RNAcentral.
UGCCAGCAGCCGCGGUAAUACGGAGGGUGCAAGCGUUGUUCGGAAUCACUGGGCGUAAAGCGUACGUAGGUGGCAAGGCCAGUCAGGCGUGAAAGCCCUCGGCUCAACCGAGGAAUUGCGUUUGAUACUGCUUUGCUAGAGUCUCGGAGAGGUUGGCGGAAUUCCAGGUGUAGGAGUGAAAUCCGUAGAUAUCUGGAGGAACACCAGUGGCGAAGGCGGCCAACUGGACCGAUACUGACGCUGAGACGCGAAAGCGUGGGGAGCAAACAGGAUUAGAUA